CAUUCACAACUUUGACCGAGAAGGCUUGAGUAGGGAGUACUGAUAAUUUCAACAAGCUUACGACUCGCUCACUGACGAAGUUAUGAGUCGAGCCGCUGUCGAUGAGGAUGACGAUGCGUUGACUAUGGAUGGUUGCAUUAACACGCAUCAUUUUUGUGGUGGACCAACCAAUGAAAGCAUGAAGGGAAAUUUUGGGCUCAUCUUCUUUCGAUUCUUCUUCUUCUUCUUCGGUCCCUUCUAAGAGCAAGACUUGAGCUCGGUGACAGC
RNAcentral lists this long non-coding RNA (267 nucleotides) under Carica papaya (papaya). RNAcentral's name for it is "long non-coding RNA (CPAP_LNC012472)". Lineage: Eukaryota; Viridiplantae; Streptophyta; Magnoliopsida; Brassicales; Caricaceae. The record is from RNAcentral.